CCGAUAGUGGCUUGGGUGGAUAACUUGAGAAGACUGUGAUCAGCAUUUAAAUCAUGGGUCUCAUCCAAGAGGAUUAUGAAUAGAAAUUUGAAGGAUAAGGUUUUACAUGACAUUGAGCUCUUUGAUUAGAAAGAGGAAAAAAUUGAUCUCUCACAGCAUGAAUUUGAAUCAAGAAGGAUAUCCUUAGGCACUCUGUUGGAAAAAUUUUCAAGAAAGAAGAGUUAUAUUGGAAGCAAAAAUCCAAAAUUACUUGGCUGAGAGAAGAGAAUAGAAAUACUGUUUUCUUCCACAAGGUUGCAUC
RNAcentral lists this long non-coding RNA (301 nucleotides) under Elaeis guineensis (African oil palm). Its description in RNAcentral is "long non-coding RNA (EGUI_LNC033294)". Lineage: Eukaryota; Viridiplantae; Streptophyta; Magnoliopsida; Arecales; Arecaceae. The record is from RNAcentral.